Molecule: non-coding RNA, 54 nt
Organism: Salmo salar (Atlantic salmon)
Lineage: Eukaryota; Metazoa; Chordata; Actinopteri; Salmoniformes; Salmonidae
Source: Rfam
UGCAUUCACUACUGUAAGACGCUCUGGAUAAGAGCGUCUGCUAAAUGACGUAAA